Long non-coding RNA from Pyrgilauda ruficollis (rufous-necked snowfinch), 1009 nucleotides. RefSeq lists it as uncharacterized. Lineage: Eukaryota; Metazoa; Chordata; Aves; Passeriformes; Passeridae. The transcript is spliced from 3 exons. The record is from RefSeq and is a predicted model, not a curated record.
GCACCCUGUUCUCUGUGUUGUGAUAAACGUAGGGCAAUUUACAAACCUGCUUCCGAACUGUGAGACAACUUGUGCAUCUUCUUGCAGAACACUGGGCUUCUGAAACCACACCUGCAGGACCAGAAGCAUUUUUCUAUCUAUAUAGCUGCCACAUUACCUGAACAACUGCUAAAUCUUCCCUCAAGCCAGCAGCCACAACUAGCCAGAGCUAAAGGCCUUCACCAUAUGCAGAAAAUUAUUUGCAUGCACUGACCACUGUCACUUAGAAGCAAAGCCUGAGCUAUUAAUAAUUCUUUCUUACAGACAAGCCUCUAGUGAUCCAAAAUAUCAGACCACAAAUAUAUUUCAAGUCUUUUGGAAACAGACAGAAAGAACUCAAAAACUGAUUAAACCAGAAAUUUAUCCAACAGUGAGGUAUCCAAUAUUGGUCAAGAACUGAAGCACAAGCAUUACAAGUGAACUCUAACUACAAGCACCUAACUUCUCAACAUUGCUGAAAGUUUUCUCGGUAUUGUGGUAAGUUACACAGCCUGAAUACCAGCAGAAUUAGGCAUCACAGACUGGUGUCCCAAAUGUGUUGAAAAACAUCUUUUAACAAGCUCAAGUCCAGGCACAACUUCCAAGAUACAAGCUCUCCUCAAUCGAUACAGGGACAAAAUCUCUUACAGCAAAGUAAAAUGUCUUCAACAGUGCUAUUUCACAAACACCCUGCUGCUGCCACUGGACCUUCAGGUGCUGUUUCUGCAGAGCUACUGUCUAGUCAGUGGAUGUCUAGCAGAGGGUUCUUCUGACACAGGCCAGCUGAGCUGAGAGCUGAAGCAGGACUACAGAGAAAUAAAAAGCCCCCAGGAACAAGCUGUCCAGCCAGACUGCAAUAAAGCAGGACAAAGAUCCAGGUGCUUUCAAUUUGAAUCCAUCGUACUGCACAAGCACAAACUGGCACUUACACUCAGCUACGCCUCACACUUCACUGGGCAAGCUGUUCACCUUGCUGAAGCACUUAAUAAAA